RNAcentral lists this ribosomal RNA (301 nucleotides) under uncultured bacterium. RNAcentral's name for it is "partial 16S ribosomal RNA". It matches the Rfam family "Bacterial small subunit ribosomal RNA", at positions 509 to 809 of the family's 1533-position model. The record is from RNAcentral.
CAGUAGCCGCGGUAAUACGUAGGGUGCGAGCGUUAAUCGGAAUUACUGGGCGUAAAGCGUGCGCAGGCGGUUAUAUAAGACAGAUGUGAAAUCCCCGGGCUCAACCUGGGACCUGCAUUUGUGACUGUAUAGCUAGAGUACGGUAGAGGGGGAUGGAAUUCCGCGUGUAGCAGCGAAAUGCGUAGAUAUGCGGAGGAACACCGAUGGCGAAGGCAAUCCCCUGGACCUGUACUGACGCUCAUGCACGAAAGCGUGGGGAGCAAACAGGAUUAGAUACCCGCGUAGUCCCUGUCUCUUAUAA